CCUACGGGAGGCAGCAGUGGGGAAUUUUGGACAAUGGGGGCAACCCUGAUCCAGCCAUGCCGCGUGCGGGAAGAAGGCCUUCGGGUUGUAAACCGCUUUUGUCAGGGAAGAAAUCCUUUGAACUAAUACUUCGGAGGGAUGACGGUACCUGAAGAAUAAGCACCGGCUAACUACGUGCCAGCAGCCGCGGUAAUACGUAGGGUGCAAGCGUUAAUCGGAAUUACUGGGCGUAAAGCGUGCGCAGGCGGUUAUGCAAGACAGAUGUGAAAUCCCCGGGCUCAACCUGGGAACUGCAUUUGUGACUGCAUAGCUAGAGUACGGUAGAGGGGGAUGGAAUUCCACGUGUAGCAGUGAAAUGCGUAGAUAUGUGGAGGAACACCGAUGGCGAAGGCAAUCCCCUGGACCUGUACUGACGCUCAUGCACGAAAGCGUGGGGAGCAAACAGGAUUAGAUACCCUGGUAGUCCACGCCCUAAACGAUGUCAACUGGUUGUUGGGAGGGUUUCUUCUCAGUACGUAGCUAACGCGUGAAGUUGACCGCCUGGGGAGUACGGCCGCAAGGUUGAAACUCAAAUGAAUUGAGCUGNGAGNGCGAGGACGACGACGAGGGAGGAGG
Molecule: ribosomal RNA, 615 nt
Filed under: uncultured bacterium
Lineage: Bacteria
Description: bacterial SSU rRNA
Rfam family: Bacterial small subunit ribosomal RNA
Source: RNAcentral